This 467-nucleotide ribosomal RNA is filed under the name uncultured Enterobacter sp. RNAcentral describes it as "bacterial SSU rRNA". It matches the Rfam family "Bacterial small subunit ribosomal RNA", at positions 49 to 507 of the family's 1533-position model. Lineage: Bacteria; Pseudomonadati; Pseudomonadota; Gammaproteobacteria; Enterobacterales; Enterobacteriaceae. The record is from RNAcentral.
UAACACAUGCAAGUCGAGCGGUAACACAGGGAGCUUGCUCCUGGGUGACGAGCGGCGGACGGGUGAGUAAUGUCUGGGAAACUGCCUGAUGGAGGGGGAUAACUACUGGAAACGGUAGCUAAUACCGCAUAACGUCGCAAGACCAAAGAGGGGGACCUUCGGGCCUCUUGCCAUCAGAUGUGCCCAGAUGGGAUUAGCUAGUAGGUGGGGUAACGGCUCACCUAGGCGACGAUCCCUAGCUGGUCUGAGAGGAUGACCAGCCACACUGGAACUGAGACACGGUCCAGACUCCUACGGGAGGCAGCAGUGGGGAAUAUUGCACAAUGGGCGCAAGCCUGAUGCAGCCAUGCCGCGUGUAUGAAGAAGGCCUUCGGGUUGUAAAGUACUUUCAGCGAGGAGGAAGGUGUUGAGGUUAAUAACCUCAGCAAUUGACGUUACUCGCAGAAGAAGCACCGGCUAACUCCGUG